AAGCCAUGGCUUAGUUGCUGGCUUUGCAGACUUGAAUUCGGAGCAGUAAUUUCAGUUCCCUGUUCAGAGACUGCAGACUCAGAGAGAGAGAUAGUGCGCUGGAGACGGUGUCCUUCUGAGUGGGCACAACCUACAGCUGUGAGACCCGGAACCCAGAACCCAGCAGAACCCAGGUCAUGUGGAGCUCAGGUUUCCAAGAAGACAGCAGCAGCUCCUCUGAGAAUGAAGAGGAAAUUCAGUGUGAGGAGUUGCUGCUGGAGAGGGAUGAGGAGGAGCAGAACCUGUCUGAGCUUGAACAUGUGUCCUUGCAGCUGCUGCAGGAGAUCAGUGCCCUGGAGGUGCAGUUUGAGAUUGAACGCUCCUGCAGAGAAACUGCUGAGGACUUUGCUGCUAAGAUUUCGAAGGAGAACAAGAUCCUGAAGAGGCAGAGCCAGGCACUGCUGCCUCUCAUUCCCGAGAUCCCCGAGGAUCUGGAGAGCGUGGCCCUCUCCCCGGAUCCCGACACCGACCCCGACCCUGCCACAGAGUCCCUGCUGCACUGCCAGGCUCAGAUCAGAGAGCUGCAGGGCUCUCUGGCCAGUCUGCUGGGAGACAAGAACCACCUGUCUGCCCAGGUGGAGGCACUGCAGAGGGAGCAGGCCAGGCUCAGGGAGCAGCUGGCAGCGGAGCGAGAGGAGAAGGAGAGCCUUCUGAAGAGACUGAACAAGCAGAGCAAGACCCUGCACAGGCUGAGCCGAGUGUCCCAGCUGGUGUCCCAGGAGCACAGUGAGCUGUCCCAGAGGCUGGAGGUGGAACAGGACCUCAGACAACAUGCAGAGGUCUUUGCUCACCAGAUGCUGGUGAAAAACAAGGAGGCGUCGCGGCAAAGCCUGCUCCUGCUGCAGAGUCCUGAGCCCACGCCACAGCUGCUGCAGGUCCAGAACCAGCUGGCCCAGAUCACCACUAUCCUGGAGGAGCUCCGGCUGCAGCACUGCAGCAAGGUGACGGGGACACAGGCUGCACUGGAGGAGAGCUCCCUGCUCAACGAGCUGCAGGGCGUGAAGGCGCAGCUGGAGGUGUGUGAGGAGGAGAAGAGGAACAUGGAGAGCCAGGUCCACGAAGCUCAACGCACUGUGGCGGAGCUCCGAGAGGCGGUGAACCAGCUCCAGGAAAAGUUGAAACAAGUCGAAUCCUCUCCUCCUGAGACUGACCAAUCACAAGAGGCACCACAAGCUCCUGCCCCUCCUCCUCCUCCUCCUCCGCCCCUCCCUCCUCCAGUCCCUACUGCUGUCGUCAGUCCACUGGAGGCCUUGAGGAACAGGAGGAGGAAUCAGCAGCACAACCCACCAUCAAACACUCAGCAGCCUCUACUGGAUGUGAAGACCCAGGCAGUCAAUGAGAUGAUGGAGCGCAUCAAGAAUGGGAUCGUGCUGAGAUCCAUCUCAAAGUCACACAAGGUCGUGGGAGAGGAGGACAGUGCCUGGAAGGAUCAGAUGAGUGAAAAACGAAAGAGUGUGGUGAAUGAAUUGCAAGGGAUUUUGGGCUCCAUCCAGCGGUCCAAGCUGAAGAGGAUAUCCCGGCGUGCUUGCAGCCGCAAGGUAGGGGAACAGGAGCUGCUGGCCGUGCUGCAGAGGAGGAGGAGGGUGAUGGGAGAGGAGUCGGACUUCACCCCCCAGCCCAAACAACAGGACCUGCAUCCCACGAGCCCAGCAGACAGCACCCUGCCCCCCGCCGGUGAGAACUCCAGUAACCCUGUCCAGCGCCGUCGGAAAACCAACAAAGAGGACAGGGCAUCCCGAAUCCGUGCAUCCGGGUCUGUCUGGAUGGAGAGCUGGGAGAAGCACUGA
Molecule: long non-coding RNA, 1826 nt
Filed under: Lepisosteus oculatus (spotted gar)
Lineage: Eukaryota; Metazoa; Chordata; Actinopteri; Semionotiformes; Lepisosteidae
Description: lncRNA (ENSLOCG00000021772.1)
Source: RNAcentral